This 1352-nucleotide ribosomal RNA is filed under the name uncultured bacterium. RNAcentral's name for it is "bacterial SSU rRNA". It matches the Rfam family "Bacterial small subunit ribosomal RNA", at positions 28 to 1381 of the family's 1533-position model. The record is from RNAcentral.
AUUGAACGCUGGCGGCAUGCCUUACACAUGCAAGUCGAACGGCAGCACGGAGCUUGCUCUGGUGGCGAGUGGCGAACGGGUGAGUAAUAUAUCGGAACGUACCCUAAAGUGGGGGAUAACGUAGCGAAAGUUACGCUAAUACCGCAUACGAUCUAAGGAUGAAAGUGGGGGAUCGCAAGACCUCAUGCUCGUGGAGCGGCCGAUAUCUGAUUAGCUAGUUGGUAGGGUAAAAGCCUACCAAGGCAUCGAUCAGUAGCUGGUCUGAGAGGACGACCAGCCACACUGGAACUGAGACACGGUCCAGACUCCUACGGGAGGCAGCAGUGGGGAAUUUUGGACAAUGGGCGAAAGCCUGAUCCAGCAAUGCCGCGUGAGUGAAGAAGGCCUUCGGGUUGUAAAGCUCUUUUGUCAGGGAAGAAACGGUGAGAGCUAAUAUCUCUUGCUAAUGACGGUACCUGAAGAAUAAGCACCGGCUAACUACGUGCCAGCAGCCGCGGUAAUACGUAGGGUGCAAGCGUUAAUCGGAAUUACUGGGCGUAAAGCGUGCGCAGGCGGUUUUGUAAGUCUGAUGUGAAAUCCCCGGGCUCAACCUGGGAAUUGCAUUGGAGACUGCAAGGCUAGAAUCUGGCAGAGGGGGGUAGAAUUCCACGUGUAGCAGUGAAAUGCGUAGAUAUGUGGAGGAACACCGAUGGCGAAGGCAGCCCCCUGGGUCAAGAUUGACGCUCAUGCACGAAAGCGUGGGGAGCAAACAGGAUUAGAUACCCUGGUAGUCCACGCCCUAAACGAUGUCUACUAGUUGUCGGGUCUUAAUUGACUUGGUAACGCAGCUAACGCGUGAAGUAGACCGCCUGGGGAGUACGGUCGCAAGAUUAAAACUCAAAGGAAUUGACGGGGACCCGCACAAGCGGUGGAUGAUGUGAAUUAAUUCGAUGCAACGCGAAAAACCUUACCUACCCUUGACAUGGCUGGAAUCCCCGAGAGAUUGGGGAGUGCUCGAAAGAGAACCAGUACACAGGUGCUGCAUGGCUGUCGUCAGCUCGUGUCGUGAGAUGUUGGGUUAAGUCCCGCAACGAGCGCAACCCUUGUCAUUAGUUGCUACGAAAGGGCACUCUAAUGAGACUGCCGGUGACAAACCGGAGGAAGGUGGGGAUGACGUCAAGUCCUCAUGGCCCUUAUGGGUAGGGCUUCACACGUCAUACAAUGGUACAUACAGAGCGCCGCCAACCCGCGAGGGGGAGCUAAUCGCAGAAAGUGUAUCGUAGUCCGGAUUGUAGUCUGCAACUCGACUGCAUGAAGUUGGAAUCGCUAGUAAUCGCGGAUCAGCAUGUCGCGGUGAAUACGUUCCCGGGUCU